RNAcentral lists this ribosomal RNA (500 nucleotides) under uncultured bacterium. RNAcentral describes it as "partial 16S ribosomal RNA". It matches the Rfam family "Bacterial small subunit ribosomal RNA", at positions 30 to 523 of the family's 1533-position model. The record is from RNAcentral.
AUUGAACGCUGGCGGAAUGCUUUACACAUGCAAGUCGAACGGCAGCACGGACUUCGGUCUGGUGGCGAGUGGCGGACGGGUGAGUAAUACAUCGGAACGUGCCCAGUCGUGGGGGAUAACGUAGCGAAAGUUACGCUAAUACCGCAUACGAUCUAUGGAUGAAAGCGGGGGAUCGCAAGACCUCGCGCGAUUGGAGCGGCCGAUAUCAGAUUAGGUAGUUGGUGGGGUAAAGGCUCACCAAGCCGACGAUCUGUAGCUGGUCUGAGAGGACGAGCAGCCACACUGGGACUGGGACACGGCCCAGACUCCUACGGGAGGCAGCAGUGGGGAAUUUUGGACAAUGGGCGAAAGCCUGAUCCAGCCAUGCCGCGUGCAGGAUGAAGGCCUUCGGGUUGUAAACUGCUUUUGUACGGAACGAAAAGGUUUGGGCUAAUAAGCUGAGCUCAUGACGGUACCGUAAGAAUAAGCACCGGCUAACUACGUGCCAGCCGCCGCGGUAA